CCUACGGGAGGCAGCAGUGAGGAAUAUUGGUCAAUGGGCGCGAGCCUGAACCAGCCAAGUAGCGUGAAGGAUGACUGCCCUACGGGUUGUAAACUUCUUUUAUAAAGGAGUAAAGUGCGGUAUGUGUGCCUUUUUGUAUGUAUUUUAUGAAUAAGGAUCGGCUAACUCUGUGCCAGCAGCCGGGGUAAUACGGAGGAUCCGAGCGUUAUCCGGAUUUAUUGGGUUUAACGGGAGCGUAGAUGGGUUGUUAAGUCAGUUGUGAAAGUUUGCGGCUCAACCGUAAAAUUGCAAUUGAUACUGGCAGCCUUGAGGACAGUUGAGGUAGGCGGAAUUCGUGGUGUAGCGGUGAAAUGCUUAGAGAUCACGAAGAACUCCGAUUGCGAAGGCAGCUUACUAAACUGCCACUGACAUUGAUGCUCGAAAGUGUGGGUAUCAAACAGGAUUAGAUACCCCAGUAGUC
Molecule: ribosomal RNA, 460 nt
Filed under: uncultured bacterium
Lineage: Bacteria
Description: partial 16S ribosomal RNA
Rfam family: Bacterial small subunit ribosomal RNA
Source: RNAcentral